AUAGGAAAAUACAGUUUGCCUUACACUCCAAACAGUGAAACUCUUCUAACUGGUAAGGUUACAUUUUCUCAAAUUGUUGCAUAUCAGUUGAACAACGUGAACCCAAGCUCUUUGUAAUAUCAAAAACAGCAUAAACAACCUAAAGCAAAUUGUAACAAUAUAUUGUAGUGUUCAAAUAAUGUUGAAUAAUAUCAGAAUGAAACAUUUCAAUGAACAAUUGAAAUAUGCCUUCACAUUAUGCCAAACGGUUUGUUUGGAUAUUUGGGUUUCACACUUACAAACGCACAUUGUACUAUAGAUUACUUUUAUUUAACAGUUUGACAAACUGUAGAAUGCAUUAGUGUUGGUUUCCCGAUUCUCGACCGCAUCGAAAAGCCAAGUGUCAACUUGGUCGCAUUUCUGAUCUGCAUUUUUGUUAAAGCCUAGGAGUUCCAGCUGAAAUAAAAGGCCAGCAAGGAUCCCAUCGUAGGGGACUUUUUGCAACAUCACGAUCGUGCCGGAUGUGCCGCAUCGAGUCGAUCGUUUGUAUGCAGACGGAAAAGGAGAGGACAUCAGCGAGUAGAGUACACCGUCGUUGCGCUGGACUACGAUGUGGCCUCGGAUGUGGCUUUGGAUCCGGUGUUACUGGCGAUCCACGAUAGGAGUGCGGAACACUGCAUGAUUGGAUUUAGCUGGAUAUCGACUGGCUCAAGUACUGGAUCAAGAAGUGAACAAUGAGUAGUAAUUGGUUCCAGUGACAG
Aedes albopictus (Asian tiger mosquito) is the source of this 740-nucleotide long non-coding RNA. RefSeq lists it as uncharacterized. Lineage: Eukaryota; Metazoa; Arthropoda; Insecta; Diptera; Culicidae. The record is from RefSeq and is a predicted model, not a curated record. The transcript is spliced from 2 exons.